GUGAUGAAGCAGUGGCAGUAUCAUAGCCAAUGAAGUUAAUCUGAGGCGUGAUUAUUGCUAGUUGAAAACUUUUCUCUGAAUACUGUGUGUGUGCCUCAGUUUCCCCAUGUGUUACUCAAUUAUUGAACUGGUGGGAUACA
Small nuclear RNA from Emys orbicularis (European pond turtle), 140 nucleotides. RefSeq annotates it as U4 spliceosomal RNA. The record is from RefSeq and is a predicted model, not a curated record. The transcript has a single exon. NCBI's taxonomy places the organism in Eukaryota, Metazoa, Chordata, Testudines, Emydidae.